Myotis lucifugus (little brown bat) is the source of this 46-nucleotide non-coding RNA. Lineage: Eukaryota; Metazoa; Chordata; Mammalia; Chiroptera; Vespertilionidae. The record is from Rfam.
CCAACGGCUCUUUUAAGAGCCACCUACUGCUGCUGGAAAGAGCUUG